This 440-nucleotide ribosomal RNA is filed under the name uncultured bacterium. RNAcentral describes it as "partial 16S ribosomal RNA". It matches the Rfam family "Bacterial small subunit ribosomal RNA", at positions 338 to 795 of the family's 1533-position model. The record is from RNAcentral.
UCUACGGGUGGCAGCAGUGGGGAAUAUUGCACAAUGGGGGAAACCCUGAUGCAGCGACGCCGCGUGAGUGAAGAAGUUUUUCGGUAUGUAAAGCUCUAUCAGCAGGGAAGAAAAUGACGGUACCUGAUUAAGAAGCCCCGGCUAACUACGUGCCAGCAGCCGCGGUAAUACGUAGGGGGCAAGCGUUAUCAGGAUUUACUGGCUGUAAAGGGAGCGUAGACGGAGGCAUAAGUCUGGAGUGAAAUGCCGGGGCUUAACCCCGGAACUGCUUUGGAAACUGUGCAGCUAGAGAGCAGGAGAGGUAGGUGGAAUGCCUGGUGUAGCGGUGAAAUGCGUAGAGAUUAGGCGGAACACCGGUGGCGAAGGCGGCUUACUGGACUGUAACUGACGUUGAGGCUCGAAAGCGUGGGGAGCAAACAGGAUUAGAUACCCGAGUAGUC